This is an RNA transcript of Hippocampus comes (tiger tail seahorse), 3000 nucleotides long. It is a transcript of the gene named arachidonate 12-lipoxygenase, 12R-type-like, with no coding region annotated. The record is from RefSeq and is a predicted model, not a curated record. The transcript has 16 exons. NCBI's taxonomy places the organism in Eukaryota, Metazoa, Chordata, Actinopteri, Syngnathiformes, Syngnathidae.
ACGGAACAGGUAUAUAAAAAUCCGCUGUGGCCGAUUGUAUCUGGUCGGAAGAAGAACCGUCUUACCCUUAUUAGACUUCUUCAUCAUUCCGAAAUAACAAUGGUGGAUUAUGAGGUGACCGUCUACACCGGCAAUCGAGUUCACGCCACCACUGUGAAUCCUGUGCACAUUAAACUGGUGGGCACAGAUGGCGAGAGUGACCGCACGUGGCUGAGGUCUUUGGUGAUAUUCAGAGGAGCGGUAACCACUUACACCGUUUCCUGCCCAAACUCCCUCGGACGUCUGCUUCUGAUCGAACUCGACAAGCGGCAAUUUUUUAUUUUGCCCGGCGACGCCUGGUUCCCCGACAAGGUGGAAAUCAAAUCACCCGAGAAUGACAUCUACACCUUUCCCAUCUACUGCUGGAUCAGUGACAGUGAGACUCACCGCUUCAGAGAAGGCAAAGCUCUGAGAAUCUUUGACGAAAGCCACCCUCUCGGCCAAUACGCAAGGGAGCAGGAGCUAAGUCGGCGAAAUGUUGACUAUGGCUGGGAUCUUUAUGCCCAAGGUUUGCCCUACUCCAUCAAGGCUGACGGUCCGAUGACCCUCCCGGAUGAGGUCCAGUUCUCCUUUACCAAGGCCACGGAGUUUGCAUUCACAGCGGCGACAGCGGUGGCUGAGCUUCAGCUAAAGGGUUUGACCGACAACCAGGAAAAUUGGACAAGUCUCGACGAUAUCAAUGACGUGUUCCGCAACAAAGACACACCCUUAUCAGAUUAUGUUCAGCAACACUGGAAGGAGGAUGAUUUUUUUGCCUACCAGUACCUAAACGGCCCCCAUCCCACCUUGAUUCGACGUUGUAAAACUCUGCCCGGCAACUUCCCCGUGACUGACGACAUGGUCUUCAUUCCCAAUGGCUCAAACUUGUCCAAUGAGUUGAAGCGAGGCAACAUAUACCUGUGUGACUACAAACACCUGGACGGACUGCAGGCAAACACGGUCCAAGGGAUUCAGCAGUACAUGAUGGCGCCCCUCGUCCUGUUUCACAAAAGGCCCGAUGAUAAGCUGAUGCCUAUUGCCAUUCAGCUCAAGCAGACUCCGGCUGAGGACAACCCCAUCUUCCUUCCAACUGACUCUACGUACGACUGGCUGACGGCUAAGAUUUUUGUGCGAAGUGCUGAUUUCACGGAGCACCAGCUCAACGCGCACUUGCUGCGCACUCACCUUUUGGCUGAGGUUUUUGCAGUGUCACUCUUGCGCAACCUGCCCAUGGUGCAUCCCCUGUACAAGCUCCUCGUACCCCACACUCGCUACACUCUGCAGAUCAACGAACAAGCUCGGGAUACACUCAUCGGACCCAAAGGAAGCUUCACUCUGUUUGCGGCUUCUGGGGGAGAGAGUGUGACGAAAAUAUUGGCAAGAUCACAAUCCUCGAUCACCUACAGAUCUCUCUGCAUCCAUGAGGACAUUGCUGAUCGCGACAUGCAGGACGUUCCAAAUUUCUACUACAGGGAUGAUGGACUCCAAAUUUGGAACAUCAUGUUUAAAUUUGUGCAGGGAGUGAUCAAGUACUACUACAAAAGUGACGACGACAUACAGCGAGACUCGGAACUGCAGACCUAUAUCGGGGACAUUUUCGAACACGGAUUCCUGUCCCAGCCACAAUCAGGUAUCCCUCAGAGUUUCACCACCGUGUCAGAGCUGAUCAAAUUCACGACCAUGGUGAUGUUUACGAGCUCGUGUCAGCAUGCAGCUGUAAACAGCGGACAGUUUGACUACGGUGGCUGGAUGCCCAACACCCCCCCGACCCUGCAGCGUCCUCCCCCAACCAAAAAGGGGACAACCAGCGAGGCCACAAUGUUGCAGACGUUGCCUGUUAUCAACGUGACCGUUCAGGGAAUGGCCGUCGUCUGGUUGCUCAGCAGGCAGUCCUCUGACUUUGUCCCCCUCGGACAUUACCCAGAAGACCAUUUCACAGAGGAGAUCCCCCGCCAGCUGCAAAAGGAUUACAAAGCCGAGCUUGACAAGUUGUCGACCACAAUCAACAACAGGAACAAAACGUUGGAGAUCCCUUACACUUACCUGGAUCCAAAGAACGUCGAGAACAGCGUGGCCAUCUAAGCGUCGGAAAUAUAUGAUGUGAUAUUAGCCAUCCAUCCAUGUUUUAGCACCGCUAGCACAUCGGACUGGCACUUAAAAUGGCGGCAGACGUGCCUGCCCCUCCCCCCCAUCUGUUAUUGCGCAACGCCGCUUGGUGAAGCGUCACUUUAGAUUGGUGGCGACGCCGGGUAGUAAAUCACAUCCAAACUGUCUGUCACUCAAAAACACGUUUUAUUUACAAUCGGCUCUGCGCUGAUUUUGAAUAUGGUGAACAUGCAUAUGACGUAACGUUAAAAAAAGAAAAAAAAAAUCAUCCAGUGCCCUUCAUCUUCAAAAGGGGAGUGUUGAGAAAGCACUUCAACAAUGUACAGUUUAGGCUGCGUGCACGGUGUUCAAUGACCCAAAAAAAAAAAAUUAAAAAAAGUCACACUAGCGAUUUGGCGUGAGAUUAUUUAGCACGAGUCAAUUUACGGUAUGUCUAAAGCACACGAUGAAAGGUUGUACAGUAUGGCAAUCGGUAUCACUCAAUGGACUGAUCACAUGACAUUGCAAUGGACAAAAAUAUGGCGCUUGGGGAAAUACACUGCAAAGCUCGGAGCUCUUUGCAUGAAACGCCGUGACCAGCGAGUAUGAGAAGAGCUGCACGGUUUCAGAGAAAAGCACAAUAAGACGAGAAUCAAAGUCACGGAUUUAAUUCUCAAGCAGUUAUGCGAGUUGGGGGGGCAAUGGGGGGCAAUUUUACCCGAAUAAAACUUGGUUGGGAAAAGUCAAUUUUACAACAAGGAAAGUGUCAACCUAUUGGGACAAAUAAACUGCGAUAAUACCGAAUAUGAUGCUAUUUCUAAUUCUACUUGGGCAAUGUUAACGUUUGUCACAAUAUUCCAAUUUUAUUCUCGUGACGUAAAGUUUUAUCUCUCAAAA